UAUGAGAAGACAGUAUUAGGCGUGCUGAAGUUAGUUUAUGCUUUUAGUUGUAAAUUCACAUCUAAUACUAGUUGAACACAAAUUUCAGCAAAUACACAGAAGAAAUAGCAAGAAUUCAUUUCAGAAAUGGGAAAAAAUUAAAUUAAAAAUAGAAAACAAAGGGCCGAAAAGCUGCAUACCUAAACACAAUUUCAUAUCUUUUUAUCCUCUUCGAGUACCGAUCCAUUCCAGAGAGAGGGAGAGAGGAGGAAGGAGACGACGAAGGGGGAGAGGAGGGAGAGGAAGGCGAGAGGAGGAAAACGACGGAGGCGAUUUACUGUCUGUGUUGUUCUCGCGGGGACUGCGAGAUGAACGAGGUGAGGAAUGACCAGGUGGCUCUGGGC
Molecule: long non-coding RNA, 383 nt
Filed under: Malus domestica (apple)
Lineage: Eukaryota; Viridiplantae; Streptophyta; Magnoliopsida; Rosales; Rosaceae
Description: long non-coding RNA (MDOM_LNC003190)
Source: RNAcentral